Molecule: long non-coding RNA, 2547 nt
Organism: Phycodurus eques (leafy seadragon)
Lineage: Eukaryota; Metazoa; Chordata; Actinopteri; Syngnathiformes; Syngnathidae
Exons: 2
Source: RefSeq, a predicted model, not a curated record
UAACGCAUUUUGAAAGACGUUCCAAGUGGGAAAUGCCAUAGAUAUGAAUGCUCCGUUCCAUUUACCUCGGGAGUCGGAGUUGGAAAUGACGUCAGUCCCGGGAUGAGCCACAUGAGGUGGCUCAGGCAUCUGAUUAGGAUGCCUCCCCGGUGAGGUGUUCUGGGCACGUCCCAUCGGGAGGAGACCCCGGUGACGACCCAGGACACGCUGGAGAGACUAUGUCUCCCGGCUGGCCCGGGAACACCUCGGGAUCCCCCCAGAAGAGCUGGAUGAAGCGACUGGGGAGAGGGAAGUCUGGGCUUCCCUGCUAAAGCUACUGCCCCUGCGACCCGACCUCCGAUAAGCAGAAGAAAAUGGAUGGAUGGAUGGACGUAACGUAGUUUUCAAGAUAUUCACACACAUACACGUACACACACACAAGUUGAGAAUGUUCACGUGUGGGAAGGUCCGUUCCUCCAUCCGCUAGGCGGCAGUAUUUAGUGUGACAAAAACUAUUCAGAAGUUAAGAAACUGAUUGUUCCAGGAGCGUGUACUUAAUGUUGACAGUUGGGGCAGCCAUUUUAGAAAGCUAACUCGGGGUCGUGAGAAAUCUUCCGAGUGGGAAAGCCGACUUCAGACGGCCUUUACGCCAGCGCGCUCUAGCAGAUGGGCUGAUCAACGUGCCUACUUGGCGGCCAUAUUGGGGAGGUCGACGUUCCCGUAGAAGGCAAUGCAUGUACACUGAAAUUCAAUUUGUAAUUUGCUCAUUUCUCCACCGAUUUUUCAUUAGAGUUAUUUUUUUUGGGCCAAAGCGUAUUCGAUCACUACACAACAUUUGGGGAAAAAAGGGAAAAUUUUUACAUGUGAAAGGGACUCCCAGUUUCCUCGUCGUAAUAGUACAACGUUGUACAACUUUUACGCAACCGUAUGCAAGCACACUGUACGGGCAUCCUUGGUCUUUUGGUUAUCUUGUCGCCCACACGUAUGGAAUGUGCUGACUUUGAGCUCCCUCGCUCAGCGUCGCCGUCGGCUCGGGGCUAAAAAUGGGCGUGUAUCUAUCAACUCGAAAUUUACGACUAGGAAUUCGGAAAUUCCGACUUCCGAGUGCGUAUGGAACUAGCGGCCAUGGAGCGAAAUGACUGCACAAGAAUCAGAGGUCGAGAAGACUGGGAAGAAGCCAAAAAUCCUCCUGGAUUAUAAUGCCUGUAAAGGUGCUGUAGACCACUUGGACCAGGUUUGUUGCACCUACUCCUGCCGCCGGCGGUCAUGCAAGUGGUAUAUGUGCCUUUUUUUUAUCAUUUUAUUGACGUCUCCUGCUACAAUGCCUACGUACUCUUCACCUAAGUAGACCCUGGAUGGAACCAGAGCAAGCAAGUUCAGGCAACGACUCUUUUUGGAUGAGAUCGGGAGAGCUCUGAUCACGCCUGCUAUGGCAAACAGAAAGUAUCUCCCCAGACAAGAGACUCUUGUCUGGUCCAGCAAGCUCGCCAUCAGUAGGAGGAAGUGGAGGAUUAACAGAACGAUGACAUUGGGCAUAGGCAACACAACAAUUUGGAAUGUCCUGAAAAAUAAAUAAACUAUUGGUGUACUGAGCAACAGACAUUGAACAGGUUGGCCAAGGGUAUCAACAGCAGUUGACAGAAACAUUGUGAGAAAGAAAACCCAAAGACAACAGUCAGUGAUAUCACUGCCAACCUCCACAGGGCAGGGGCGAAGGUAUCAUAAUCCACUGUUUGAAGAAGACUUCGAGAGAAAAAAUAUAUAGGCUAUACAAGAUGCAAACCAGCAAAAAGAAUUGGAAGGCCAGGUUGGAUUUUGCAAAGAAGUUCAGCGAUGAGCCACAAUUGUUUUGGAAAAAAACUUUUUAUGGACUGAUGAGACCAAGGUUAACCCCUACCAAAUUGAUAGUGACUGCUAAUGAUCCAAAACACACAAGUUCAUCUUGUGAAGCAUGGUGGAAGUAAUGUCAUGGCUUGGGCUUGCAUGGCUGCUUCUGGAAUGGGCUCACUAGUCUUUACUGACGAUGUAACUCAUGACGGUAGAAGCAGAAUGAAUUCGGAAACCUACAAGCCCAUUUUGUCUGGCAAUUUAAAGAAAAAUGCAUCCAAACUAAUCAGGAGAAGAUUCAUCAUGCAACCAGACAAUCAUCCAAAACACACUGACAACACAACAAAUUACUUCAUCGGGUGAAAAAGUGGAAGGUCGUAGACUGGCCAAGUCACCAGACCUUAACCCAAUAGAGCAUGCAUUUUACCUCCCGAAGAGGAGACUGAAGGGACAAACCCCUACAAACAAGAACUGAAAGAGGCUGCAGUAAAGGCCUGGAAAAGCAUUUCAAAUGAAGAAUGCAACAGUCUGGUGGAGUCAAUGGGUUGCAGGCUCGAUGCAGUUAUUGCAAGUAAGGGUUAUGCCACCAAAUAUUAAAUGUUAUUCAAUUUAAGUUAAUUUGUCUGUUCCAAUAAUUUUGCACACUUGAAAAGUGGGAGGCUUCAAACAAAAGGUGCUCUGUCCUGAGUUGUUUAACACAUCUAGAUGUAAAUACCAUGAAAUAAAAGAUGGAAUUCUGAA